AGGGUUCGAUUAUGGCUCAGGACGAACGCUGGCGGUGCGCCUUAUGCAUGCAAGUCGAGCGAAGCUUUUCAGUAGUUUACUACAGAAAAUGACUGAGCGGCGAACGGGUGAGUAACGCGUGAGCAACCUACCUUAGUUACUGGGAUAGCCCGAGGAAACUCGGAUUAAUACCGGAUAUUCUUAUUUAAUCACAUGAUUUUUUAAGGAAAGGUCAGCCGAACUAAGAUGGGCUCGCGUUCUAUCAGCUAGUUGGUAGGGUAAUGGCCUACCAAGGCUACGACGGAUAGCUGGUCUGAGAGGACGAUCAGCCACACUGGGACUGAGACACGGCCCAGACUCCUACGGGAGGCUGCAGCAGGGAAUAUUGCGCAAUGAGCGAAAGCUUGACGCAGCGACACCGCGUGUGGGAUGACGGAUCUAGGUUUGUAAACCACUUUCAGGAGGGAAGAAAAUGACGGUACCUCCACAAGAAGCCCCGGCCAACUACGUGCCAGCAGCCGCGGUAAUUC
RNAcentral lists this ribosomal RNA (509 nucleotides) under uncultured bacterium. Its description in RNAcentral is "bacterial SSU rRNA". It matches the Rfam family "Bacterial small subunit ribosomal RNA", at positions 8 to 526 of the family's 1533-position model. The record is from RNAcentral.